Molecule: unclassified non-coding RNA, 200 nt
Filed under: Sordariomycetes sp.
Lineage: Eukaryota; Fungi; Ascomycota; Sordariomycetes
Description: partial internal transcribed spacer 2
Source: RNAcentral
UUAAGUUCAGCGGGUAUUCCUACCUGAUCCGAGGUCAACGUUCAGAAAAUUGGGGGGUUUUACGGCCGGGAACCCGCCAGGCGUCCAGAGCGAGAGAGAUUACUACGCUCGGAGUCUUAGCGAGCCCGCCACUGUUUUUCAGGGCCUGCAGCCGGAGCUGCAGACGCCCCAACACCAAGCAGGGCUUGAGGGUUGAAAUG